RNAcentral lists this long non-coding RNA (413 nucleotides) under Ananas comosus (pineapple). Its description in RNAcentral is "long non-coding RNA (ACOM_LNC010003)". Lineage: Eukaryota; Viridiplantae; Streptophyta; Magnoliopsida; Poales; Bromeliaceae. The record is from RNAcentral.
CGUUUCCGCGCCUAUGCGCACCGAAACGCCCGAAUGCUUCCGAACUUCGCCGAACUUCACCGGAACCAUUCGAAUGGCUUUCUAACCUCAUGUAAACCAUAACUUUAUAGUUUUAGAAGUAUGGUAUGUUACACAUAGAGUCUGUUUUAGGAGUUUUUGAUGUACUUUUGAGUUUUGAAUAGUAUUUGGACUACAUGCGAGGGGUUCGAGGUUUUGGUGAUGACAUUGAAUUUCGUUUUUUCUUUAAGAUGUAAUUUUUGAGUUUUUGUGUGUUUUGUUACGAAAUUGCCAAAGGGGGAGAUUGUUAAGUCUUGUGUGUUGGCAAGCUUCGUGAAGUGAGUCGAAGUCUUGAAGAAUCGGUGCGUAUCGUCGAAGAUCGAAGAAUUCAAGAUUUCGAAGAAUUUGGAAAAUAA